AACGAACGCUGGCGGCAUGCCUAACACAUGCAAGUCGAACGAGAUCUUCGGGUCUAGUGACGCACGGGUGCGUAACGCGUGGGAAUCUGCCCUUUGGUUCGGAAUAACAGUUGGAAGCGACUGCUAAUACCGGAUGAUGACGAAAGUCCAAAGAUUUAUCGCCAGAGGAUGAGCCCGCGUAGGAUUAGCUAGUUGGUGUGGUAAAGGCGCACCAAGGCGACGAUCCUUAGCUGGACUGAGAGGAUGAUCAGCCACACUGGGACUGAGACACGGCCCAGACUCCUACGGGAGGCAGCAGUGGGGAAUAUUGGACAAUGGGCGAAAGCCUGAUCCAGCAAUGCCGCGUGAGUGAUGAAGGCCUUAGGGUUGUAAAGCUCUUUUACCCGGGAUGAUAAUGACAGUACCGGGAGAAUAAGCUCCGGCUAACUCCGUGCCAGCCGCCGCCGUAA
RNAcentral lists this ribosomal RNA (449 nucleotides) under uncultured bacterium. RNAcentral's name for it is "partial 16S ribosomal RNA". It matches the Rfam family "Bacterial small subunit ribosomal RNA", at positions 29 to 523 of the family's 1533-position model. The record is from RNAcentral.